This 478-nucleotide ribosomal RNA is filed under the name Trichoderma harzianum. RNAcentral describes it as "eukaryotic LSU rRNA". The stretch from base 95 to 248 matches the Rfam family "5.8S ribosomal RNA". The record is from RNAcentral. Lineage: Eukaryota; Fungi; Ascomycota; Sordariomycetes; Hypocreales; Hypocreaceae.
ACCAACCAAAACUCUUUUUGUAUACCCCCUCGCGGGUUUUUUUAUAAUCUGAGCCUUCUCGGCGCCUCUCGUAGGCGUUUCGAAAAUGAAUCAAAACUUUCAACAACGGAUCUCUUGGUUCUGGCAUCGAUGAAGAACGCAGCGAAAUGCGAUAAGUAAUGUGAAUUGCAGAAUUCAGUGAAUCAUCGAAUCUUUGAACGCACAUUGCGCCCGCCAGUAUUCUGGCGGGCAUGCCUGUCCGAGCGUCAUUUCAACCCUCGAACCCCUCCGGGGGGUCGGCGUUGGGGAUCGGCCCUCCCUUAGCGGGUGGCCGUCUCCGAAAUACAGUGGCGGUCUCGCCGCAGCCUCUCCUGCGCAGUAGUUUGCACACUCGCAUCGGGAGCGCGGCGCGUCCACAGCCGUUAAACACCCAACUUCUGAAAUGUUGACCUCGGAUCAGGUAGGAAUACCCGCUGAACUUAAGCAUAUCAAUAAGCAG